GUGAAUCAUCAAAUUUUUGAACGCACAUUGCACUCUCUGGUAUUCCGGAGAGUAUGCCUGUUUGAGGGUCAGUUUAAAUAAAAAUCGGUGUGGUUGCUGCCUUUCGUGGUGACGCACAGGAUGUGGGUCGUAUUGCCUUUGGUUAAGUGCCCUCAAAUUUUGCAUGAUUUUUUAGAACGUCUCUAACUGAUUUUAAGAAAGUUUGCGAUAUCGUAAACUAGGUGAGGUCAUCCUCAUCUCUCGCGAGUAUAA
This 252-nucleotide unclassified non-coding RNA is filed under the name Glomus sp. Its description in RNAcentral is "partial contains 5.8S ribosomal RNA and internal transcribed spacer 2". The stretch from base 1 to 71 matches the Rfam family "5.8S ribosomal RNA", at positions 84 to 154 of the family's 154-position model. The record is from RNAcentral. Lineage: Eukaryota; Fungi; Glomeromycota; Glomeromycetes; Glomerales; Glomeraceae.